GAUGAAGAACGUAGCGAAAUGCGAUAAGUAAUGUGAAUUGCAGAAUUCAGUGAAUCAUCGAAUCUUUGAACGCACCUUGCACUCCUUGGUAUUCCGAGGAGUACGCCUGUUCGAGUGUUAUGAAGCUCUCAAAACGCAAUUGGCUUAAAACCUGAUUGUUGUUUUGGAUUUGAACUUUGCCGUGUUAUAACGGCUGGUUUUAAAAGUAUUAGCUGGUACUAGAACGAAUUGGUUCUACUCAACGUGAUAAUUAUCUGAUCGGUGAGGACAUUCCUUUCACGAGGAAUGGCCAUAGUAAAUUCAAUGGACUGCUUCUAAUCUGGCUUUAAUUCUUUAUUGGAUUAACCACUUUUCAAAUCUGACCUCGAAUCAGGUGGGACUACCCGCUGAACUUAAGCAUAUCAAAAGCGGAGGA
This 415-nucleotide unclassified non-coding RNA is filed under the name soil metagenome. RNAcentral describes it as "partial contains 5.8S ribosomal RNA, internal transcribed spacer 2, and large subunit ribosomal RNA". The stretch from base 1 to 120 matches the Rfam family "5.8S ribosomal RNA", at positions 35 to 154 of the family's 154-position model. The record is from RNAcentral.